Molecule: long non-coding RNA, 728 nt
Organism: Hemicordylus capensis (graceful crag lizard)
Lineage: Eukaryota; Metazoa; Chordata; Lepidosauria; Squamata; Cordylidae
Exons: 4
Source: RefSeq, a predicted model, not a curated record
UUCCGGCCUCACGCGGCUGACUUCCGGAUUCUACUCCGCAUGCGCGGCUGGCGGGGUGGGCGGGAGGCGCCGCAGGGCCGGCCGGUCUUAAAGGGGCCGCGUCAGCCUUUCCCCCUCUGUCCCCGCCGCCCUCUCUCGCGGUUGCGGGGGGCGCAGAGCGGGGACCUUCCGCCUCCCUCCUCUCUGGCUAGAAACAUCCCUGACCCGCCCCCUGCGUGCAAUCAGCCAAGAUAUAGGAGGGGAAAGGGGAGGCACUCUGUACAUGCUCGGAGGAGUCGCUCCAUGCCGCUGCCUUCCAAGGGAGUCCUGCCUCUGGCUGACUUCAGGGCUUAGCCCUGCUGGUAUUGCUGCUGCUGCUGCUGCUGCUGCUGGCAUUGCUUAUCUGCCGGUGUUGAUGUUACAAGCACCAUCCAAUCGGUCCCAACCAAGCUGCAACCAGAUGGCUCCAAAUCACAAUGGCCUACCCAAUCAAGUCCCCAGAUGUUGUUGGACUACAACUCCCAUCAUCCCCUGCCACGAUGGCAAACCCAAGAUGGCGAACCCCUGGAUUAAGAGCAGCACUUUAAGCCGAAACAGCACGGGAGUGACAAGGACGCCUCACCUCAGACAACAGCCUGGCAGCCUCGUCCUGAACCAGUGGAAGCUUCCAAAGACUUUUCAAAGGCCGGCCCAGGUAUCGCUCGUUACAGCAGUCCAGCCGGGAUGUAACAAGGCAGGGAAUGAAUAUU